GGUAGCGUGGCCGAGGGGUCUAAGGCGCUGGAUUUAGGCUCCAGUCUCUUCGGGGGCUGGGGUUUGAAUCCCACCGCUGCCA
This 82-nucleotide transfer RNA is filed under the name Danio rerio (zebrafish). It matches the Rfam family "tRNA". Rfam says of the family: Transfer RNA (tRNA) molecules are approximately 80 nucleotides in length. Their secondary structure includes four short double-helical elements and three loops (D, anti-codon, and T loops). Further hydrogen bonds mediate the characteristic L-shaped molecular structure. tRNAs have two regions of fundamental functional importance: the anti-codon, which is responsible for specific mRNA codon recognition, and the 3' end, to which the tRNAs corresponding amino acid is attached (by aminoacyl-tRNA synthetases). tRNAs cope with the degeneracy of the genetic code in two manners: having more than one tRNA (with a specific anti-codon) for a particular amino acid; and 'wobble' base-pairing, i.e. permitting non-standard base-pairing at the 3rd anti-codon position. Lineage: Eukaryota; Metazoa; Chordata; Actinopteri; Cypriniformes; Danionidae. The record is from Rfam by way of RNAcentral.